Molecule: long non-coding RNA, 1457 nt
Organism: Andrographis paniculata
Lineage: Eukaryota; Viridiplantae; Streptophyta; Magnoliopsida; Lamiales; Acanthaceae
Exons: 2
Source: RefSeq, a predicted model, not a curated record
CCAUCACUAGGCAGGAUUAACCCUAACUGCGUUAAGCCCAUCUGAGAGAAUUAGGGCAACGCCACUAUAAAUACCGAUUCAAUCUUCUUCAGCAAUGGCGGACGAGAAGUCUUUGUCGAUUUCGCUUCACUCUUCUACGGAGUUGCAGUGAAUAUCCAUUUACGAGCUUCUCUACUAUUCUCUCGAAUGAAUCUUAUUAUGCUAGUUUUUUUUAUAGUCGUAGUUCUGUUUUUUGUUUACUCGGUUUCGCUCGCACAAUGAAGGUGAUUUGUUGGGGUAUAAAGUGAUGAAAAUCUUAGCUACGUGCAGACGCAGCAUCCGCCAGCGAAGUGUUCUGGCGAUGCGAUGAGCGGCACUUUCCACACGAGAUUUCUGAUUAUCCGGUUUCGUCUAACAUUUUCGAUCUAUUCGUUUUCGUUAUUGGAUUUCAUAUUGGGAAUUUAUUGCUUGAUUUUAUUCCGAUUACAUCUUUCUCUUCCAUUUUUUUUUUAUUUUUUUAAAUGAUUGUAUUGUUUCCGAAUUUUGAACUGAUAUUUCUGAAGGAGGAGGUCAUGACCCAACAGCCACACCUAAUCUUCCUCUACAUAUUGUGGCUUUUAUCUGCAUCAUUUGAAUAUGCUUUGUUAAUUUCAUUCUUUGAUUCCCUCCUCGGCAAUGAAUUUCCUCUACAAAUAUUUUUGAUUUGGAAAAAAAUAAGAAAAUAGUUCCAGUGCAUUUUAAUUAGUAUUUUUUUAUUUUGUAUUUUUUGGCCCCAACAUCAACUUUGAGAACAUUUAACUAUGUCACAAUAUAACCAAAAAAAAAAAUAAUAAUCAAAAUUAGUUCCAGCAACUAUUUGUGUAGGUUGGUCCUAAGGGCAUCUCCAAACCAGCCCUAUGGUUUUGGCAUCGGUUGCCCCAAAUCCGAUGCCAUUUUCUGGCGUUGUUAUAGUGCAACAUUGUAAAAAUAUUGGAGCAAUUGUUUAUUGAAGUUAAAACAGUAUAAAUAAAGUAACUGACUGUUUAUCCAACUGAUCAAGUAGUUGCGUGUGCGUGUUGGAUCUAACAUAAGCUUGUUGGAUUACAUUGUUGGUUUAUUUUCUUUGUAGAGGUAUAAUUUGAAGAGUAACCUAGAAAUUUACAGGUGGACUAGAAAAAAAAAAUGAAAAUUGAGAAUGUUUUGGUGGCAGCUGCUGGGCAUCAUUAUGGAUCAAAGAAUCCAUUGGGAGUACAUUCAGGGAUGGAUAACACAGCAAGUUUAAGCGGUGAUGGGAGUAUCGGUAUUUGGCAUAGUUGGUGACCGUACUCGUGAAGGAAAUGAUCUUCACAAGAUAUCUUGGAUAAAUGCUGAAUCGUACAGAUCAUACUUGGACAACAGGUUCUUAGAGCAGCUGUACUCGGGGUUUCUCCACAUUCUCCCGAUGUGGAGAAACCCAUGUUACCUAUUCUUCAAUUGGAAAAAAAAAAAAAAAGCAAAAA